CCUUGCCACACCAGACUGGCUAGCUACUAGCCGGAUAGCAACUAGCUUCACCACACACUCACUCAUAGCGCGUCAGCGCCGCGCUCACAAAGUGUCAGGCCACUACCAAAAGUGUAUCUAUGUCAAUGGAGGAAUAAGUGAAAAGAUCAAAUCAAUGGUCACUUCACAAAGGUCCAAAGGUGCUGAGCUGGACUUUUGGAGCGGCCUGCAAAGGCAGCAGUUUGUCCCAUGUGUCUUGGGAAAACGAAGGCGAGGGAAGCAAAGCCAAAAUUUCCGGUGGGCUAAUGACCUCUUCUGUGGUGAGAAGCAGCCUGCGUAGUCAGUGGAGAGGUGGAGAAGGAGGGUGUUGAACAGGGGUGCUAGGGAGGGGAAUGAUGG
Molecule: long non-coding RNA, 378 nt
Organism: Dunckerocampus dactyliophorus (ringed pipefish)
Lineage: Eukaryota; Metazoa; Chordata; Actinopteri; Syngnathiformes; Syngnathidae
Exons: 3
Source: RefSeq, a predicted model, not a curated record